Molecule: ribosomal RNA, 254 nt
Filed under: uncultured bacterium
Lineage: Bacteria
Description: partial 16S ribosomal RNA
Rfam family: Bacterial small subunit ribosomal RNA
Source: RNAcentral
UACGUAGGCAGCAAGCGUUGUUCGGAAUUACUGGGCGUAAAGAGUGUGUAGGCGGUGCUCCAAGUCUGGUGUGAAAUCUCCCGGCUCAACUGGGAGGGUGCGCCGAAUACUGAAUGACUUGGAGUGCGGGAGAGGAGAGUGGAAUUCCUGGUGUAGCGGUGAAAUGCGUAGAUAUCAGGAGGAACACCGGUGGUGUAGACGGCUCUCUGGACCGUAACUGACGCUGAGACACGAAAGCGUGGGUAGCAAACAGG